RNAcentral lists this ribosomal RNA (122 nucleotides) under Aureococcus anophagefferens. Its description in RNAcentral is "partial small subunit ribosomal RNA". It matches the Rfam family "Eukaryotic small subunit ribosomal RNA", at positions 1706 to 1827 of the family's 1831-position model. The record is from RNAcentral. Lineage: Eukaryota; Pelagophyceae; Pelagomonadales; Pelagomonadaceae.
ACCUCCGGACUGGGGUUCGCAAGCUUCACGGCGAACGUACCUCGGGAAGUUGGUUAAACCUCACUAUUUAGAGGAAGGUGAAGUCGUAACAAGGUCUCCGUAGGUGAACCUGCAGAAGGAUC